UUAAGUUCAGCGGGUAGUCCUACUCGAUUUGAGGUCAAGUUGUCAAAUAUUGUCCAAAGACAGUGUAGUUUGAAGCACAGAGCUCCCGAUCGCACACCCUCUCUCUUGCGAGUGAGGAGCCAGCGAAGAUACUUAUCACGCUGUUCUAUGUCCAACCAAGAGUUGCACUACUCCAUUUAAGAUGAGCCACAGUAACGCAG
This 200-nucleotide unclassified non-coding RNA is filed under the name Sebacina sp. RNAcentral's name for it is "partial internal transcribed spacer 2". Lineage: Eukaryota; Fungi; Basidiomycota; Agaricomycetes; Sebacinales; Sebacinaceae. The record is from RNAcentral.